AAUAGCGUAUAUUAAAGUUGCUGCAGUUAAAAAGCUCGUAGUUGGAUUUCUGGCUUGAGACAUGCGGCCGGCCACGGUUUCGUGUGUUAGUGCUGUAUGUUCUGGCCAUCCUUCCAAUCGCUGUUCGCUGCUCUUCAUUGAGUGGUGCGACAGUAUUGGAUCUUUUACUUUGAAAAAAUUAGAGUGUUUCAAGCAGGCGUUUUGCUAUGAAUACAUUAGCAUGGAAUAAUAAUUUAGGACUUCGGUUCUAUUUUGUUGGUUUCUAGGACUGAAGUAAUGAUUGAUAGGGAUAGUUGGGGGUGCUAGUAUUCAGCGGCCAGAGGUGAAAUUCUCGGAUUCGCUGAAGACUAACUUAUGCGAAAGCAUUCACCAAGGAUAUCUUCUUUAAUCAAGAACGAAAGUUGGGGGAUCGAGGACGAUCAGAUACCGUCGUAGUCUCAACCAUAAACUAUGCCGACUAGGGAUGAGUGAACGUUGAAAUUUAAAAAAACGACUUCAUUCGCACCUUAUGAGAAAUCAAAGUCUUUGGGUUCCGGGGGGAGUAUGGUCGCAAGGCUGAAACUUAAAGGAAUUGACGGAAGGGCACCACCAGGAGUGGAGCCUGCGGCUUAAUUUGACUCAACACGGGAAAACUUACCAGGUCCAGACACAGUAAGGAUUGACAGAUUGAAGAUCUUUCUUGAU
RNAcentral lists this precursor RNA (684 nucleotides) under uncultured Cercozoa. Its description in RNAcentral is "partial 18S ribosomal RNA". It matches the Rfam family "Eukaryotic small subunit ribosomal RNA", at positions 593 to 1266 of the family's 1831-position model. The record is from RNAcentral. Lineage: Eukaryota; Cercozoa.